CACGGGGGGAGCAAGCGUUGUUCGGAAUCACUGGGCGUAAAGGGCGUGUAGGCGGUCAAGUAAGUGGAAUGUGAAAGCCCCCGGCUUACCCGGGGAUCUGCAUCCCAAACUGCUUGGCUUGAGUACGGGAGAGGAUAGGGGAAUUCCUGGUGUAGCGGUGAAAUGCGUAGAUAUCAGGAGGAACACCGGUGGCGAAGGCGGUUCUCUGGGCAUGUCCUGACGCUGAGGAGCGAAAGUGUGGGGAGCGAACAGG
This 253-nucleotide ribosomal RNA is filed under the name uncultured bacterium. RNAcentral describes it as "partial 16S ribosomal RNA". It matches the Rfam family "Bacterial small subunit ribosomal RNA", at positions 524 to 776 of the family's 1533-position model. The record is from RNAcentral.